Molecule: ribosomal RNA, 805 nt
Filed under: uncultured Actinomycetes bacterium
Lineage: Bacteria; Bacillati; Actinomycetota; Actinomycetes
Description: bacterial SSU rRNA
Rfam family: Bacterial small subunit ribosomal RNA
Source: RNAcentral
GAACGGAAAGGCCUGCAGCUUGCUGCGGGUACUCGAGUGGCGAACGGGUGAGUAACACGUGGGUGAUCUGCCUUGCACUUCGGGAUAAGCUUGGGAAACUGGGUCUAAUACCGGAUAGGACAGCUGUUUAGUGUCAGUUGUGGAAAGUUUUUUCGGUGCAAGAUGAGCUCGCGGCCUAUCAGCUUGUUGGUGGGGUAAUGGCCUACCAAGGCGUCGACGGGUAGCCGGCCUGAGAGGGUGUACGGCCACAUUGGGACUGAGAUACGGCCCAGACUCCUACGGGAGGCAGCAGUGGGGAAUAUUGCACAAUGGGCGGAAGCCUGAUGCAGCGACGCCGCGUGGGGGAUGAAGGCCUUCGGGUUGUAAACUCCUUUCGACAGGGACGAAGCGUAAGUGACGGUACCUGUAUAAGAAGCACCGGCUAACUACGUGCCAGCAGCCGCGGUAAUACGUAGGGUGCGAGCGUUGUCCGGAAUUACUGGGCGUAAAGAGCUCGUAGGUGGUUUGUCGCGUCGUCUGUGAAAUUCCGGGGCUUAACUCCGGGCGUGCAGGCGAUACGGGCUGACUUGAGUGCUGUAGGGGAGACUGGAAUUCCUGGUGUAGCGGUGAAAUGCGCAGAUAUCAGGAGGAACACCGAUGGCGAAGGCAGGUCUCUGGGCAGUAACUGACGCUGAGGAGCGAAAGCAUGGGUAGCGAACAGGAUUAGAUACCCUGGUAGUCCAUGCCGUAAACGGUGGGCGCUAGGUGUAGGGGGCUUCCACGUCUUCUGUGCCGUAGCUAACGCAUAAGCGCCCCGCCUGGGGAG